CGCGUCCGCCUCGUGGACGCCGGUGCCCAUCCAAGCCCACUCCCGGUUACUCUGACGCCGUGCCCCCUUGCCCGGUCCGACCGGGGAAGCCGCAUAGCCGACAGCCGUCGCAUCCCAGGGAGCCCUUUCAUG
This 132-nucleotide small RNA is filed under the name Streptomyces collinus Tu 365. RNAcentral describes it as "Streptomyces-metH RNA". It matches the Rfam family "Streptomyces-metH RNA". Lineage: Bacteria; Bacillati; Actinomycetota; Actinomycetes; Kitasatosporales; Streptomycetaceae. The record is from Rfam by way of RNAcentral.